Long non-coding RNA from Hippopotamus amphibius kiboko, 491 nucleotides. RefSeq lists it as uncharacterized. The record is from RefSeq and is a predicted model, not a curated record. Lineage: Eukaryota; Metazoa; Chordata; Mammalia; Artiodactyla; Hippopotamidae. The transcript has 4 exons.
GGCUAAACCUUAGCUUAGGGAUGGAGGAUGGCUUAAAAAUACCGAACAGGUAUCACCUCUAAUCUGGGAACCAGGAUUCCUCCUGAGGAUGUCAGAUGACGGAAACCUGUGUGACUUGCAAGCUUCUAUAACUUUGGACUUGAUGGAUAAAGAAAGGAGUCAUAUGCCCCUGGAAGACUGCUGUCUUAGUCACAUAAAGAGAGCAUUUGAAGGUCUACUCAAGCAAAUAAAGAAACUGAUGCUGAGGGAGAUUAAAUAAUAUGCCCUAGGACAUACAAGUUACAUGGCAGAGCUGAGAUUUCCUUCGUGGUCCAACUUUAUAUCCUAAGCCAUAAUCGUUAUGUUCCUGGAUACCCAGUACUACAUAACACGGAAGCAGAAGCUGAACACACACAAGAACUGGUGAAUUAAGGGAGCAGAGGUCAUGAAAAGUUGAUGAGAUGGGGGACCAAAGAGGAUGUAGAUCCCAAGACCUAAAAGCAUCACGAUGC